GGUGGACAAUGGUAAGGAUGAACUGCGUGGCUUGGUGGAAGGGUGAUGUGAAAAAUAAGUUAACACACAAAAUUAAACCCUCUUUUUAUCAAAUGUAGUAAAGUAUGUAAGUAUGGAUCGUUCUAGGCCGGGGAUUAGGAGGGAUUGCUAAACACUUGAAAACUGACUUAAAAACAUAAAAACAAAAUUUAAAACACUAAACUAGACUCAAAGAAUGAAAAACUAUACUUUAAAAUACUUAAACAAACAUAAAACUCAAAACAGCAACCUAAUGACUCAAAACU
RNAcentral lists this long non-coding RNA (284 nucleotides) under Malus domestica (apple). RNAcentral's name for it is "long non-coding RNA (MDOM_LNC006282)". Lineage: Eukaryota; Viridiplantae; Streptophyta; Magnoliopsida; Rosales; Rosaceae. The record is from RNAcentral.